Molecule: ribosomal RNA, 2928 nt
Filed under: Salmonella enterica subsp. enterica serovar Enteritidis str. SA20084824
Lineage: Bacteria; Pseudomonadati; Pseudomonadota; Gammaproteobacteria; Enterobacterales; Enterobacteriaceae
Description: bacterial LSU rRNA
Rfam family: Bacterial large subunit ribosomal RNA
Source: RNAcentral
GGGUUGUGAGGUUAAGCGACUAAGCGUACACGGUGGAUGCCCUGGCAGUCAGAGGCGAUGAAGGGCGUACUAAUCUGCGAUAAGCGCCGGUAAGGUGAUAUGAACCGUUAUAACCGGCGAUACCCGAAUGGGGAAACCCAGUGUGAUUCGUCACACUAUCAUUAACUGAAUCCAUAGGUUAAUGAGGCGAACCGGGGGAACUGAAACAUCUAAGUACCCCGAGGAAAAGAAAUCAACCGAGAUUCCCCCAGUAGCGGCGAGCGAACGGGGAGGAGCCCAGAGCCUGAAUCAGCAUGUGUGUUAGUGGAAGCGUCUGGAAAGGCGCGCGAUACAGGGUGACAGCCCCGUACACAAAAGCGCAUGUGCUGUGAGCUCGAUGAGUAGGGCGGGACACGUGGUAUCCUGUCUGAAUAUGGGGGGACCAUCCUCCAAGGCUAAAUACUCCUGACUGACCGAUAGUGAACCAGUACCGUGAGGGAAAGGCGAAAAGAACCCCGGCGAGGGGAGUGAAAAAGAACCUGAAACCGUGUACGUACAAGCAGUGGGAGCACNNNNNNNNNNNNNUGACUGCGUACCUUUUGUAUAAUGGGUCAGCGACUUAUAUUCUGUAGCAAGGUUAACCGAAUAGGGGAGCCGGAGGGAAACCGAGUCUUAAUUGGGCGUUAAGUUGCAGGGUAUAGACCCGAAACCCGGUGAUCUAGCCAUGGGCAGGUUGAAGGUUGGGUAACACUAACUGGAGGACCGAACCGACUAAUGUUGAAAAAUUAGCGGAUGACCUGUGGCUGGGGGUGAAAGGCCAAUCAAACCGGGAGAUAGCUGGUUCUCCCCGAAAGCUAUUUAGGUAGCGCCUCGUGAAUUCAUCUCCGGGGGUAGAGCACUGUUUCGGCUAGGGGGCCAUCCCGGCUUACCAACCCGAUGCAAACUGCGAAUACCGGAGAAUGUUAUCACGGGAGACACACGGCGGGUGCUAACGUCCGUCGUGAAGAGGGAAACAACCCAGACCGCCAGCUAAGGUCCCAAAGUCAUGGUUAAGUGGGAAACGAUGUGGGAAGGCCCAGACAGCCAGGAUGUUGGCUUAGAAGCAGCCAUCAUUUAAAGAAAGCGUAAUAGCUCACUGGUCGAGUCGGCCUGCGCGGAAGAUGUAACGGGGCUAAACCAUGCACCGAAGCUGCGGCAGCGACACUGUGUGUUGUUGGGUAGGGGAGCGUUCUGUAAGCCUGCGAAGGUGGCCUGUGAGGGUUGCUGGAGGUAUCAGAAGUGCGAAUGCUGACAUAAGUAACGAUAAAGCGGGUGAAAAGCCCGCUCGCCGGAAGACCAAGGGUUCCUGUCCAACGUUAAUCGGGGCAGGGUGAGUCGACCCCUAAGGCGAGGCCGAAAGGCGUAGUCGAUGGGAAACGGGUUAAUAUUCCCGUACUUGGUGUUACUGCGAAGGGGGGACGGAGAAGGCUAUGUUGGCCGGGCGACGGUUGUCCCGGUUUAAGCGUGUAGGUGUGUGUUCCAGGUAAAUCCGGUUCACUUUAACACUGAGGCGUGACGACGAGGCACUACGGUGCUGAAGCAACAAAUGCCCUGCUUCCAGGAAAAGCCUCUAAGCAUCAGGUAACAUCAAAUCGUACCCCAAACCGACACAGGUGGUCAGGUAGAGAAUACCAAGGCGCUUGAGAGAACUCGGGUGAAGGAACUAGGCAAAAUGGUGCCGUAACUUCGGGAGAAGGCACGCUGACACGUAGGUGAAGUGAUUUACUCAUGGAGCUGAAGUCAGUCGAAGAUACCAGCUGGCUGCAACUGUUUAUUAAAAACACAGCACUGUGCAAACACGAAAGUGGACGUAUACGGUGUGACGCCUGCCCGGUGCCGGAAGGUUAAUUGAUGGGGUCAGCGCAAGCGAAGCUCCUGAUCGAAGCCCCGGUAAACGGCGGCCGUAACUAUAACGGUCCUAAGGUAGCGAAAUUCCUUGUCGGGUAAGUUCCGACCUGCACGAAUGGCGUAAUGAUGGCCAGGCUGUCUCCACCCGAGACUCAGUGAAAUUGAACUCGCUGUGAAGAUGCAGUGUACCCGCGGCAAGACGGAAAGACCCCGUGAACCUUUACUAUAGCUUGACACUGAACAUUGAGCCUUGAUGUGUAGGAUAGGUGGGAGGCUUUGAAGUGUGGACGCCAGUCUGCAUGGAGCCGACCUUGAAAUACCACCCUUUAAUGUUUGAUGUUCUAACGUGGACCCGUUACCCGGGUUGCGGACAGUGUCUGGUGGGUAGUUUGACUGGGGCGGUCUCCUCCUAAAGAGUAACGGAGGAGCACGAAGGUUGGCUAAUCCUGGUCGGACAUCAGGAGGUUAGUGCAAUGGCAUAAGCCAGCUUGACUGCGAGCGUGACGGCGCGAGCAGGUGCGAAAGCAGGUCAUAGUGAUCCGGUGGUUCUGAAUGGAAGGGCCAUCGCUCAACGGAUAAAAGGUACUCCGGGGAUAACAGGCUGAUACCGCCCAAGAGUUCAUAUCGACGGCGGUGUUUGGCACCUCGAUGUCGGCUCAUCACAUCCUGGGGCUGAAGUAGGUCCCAAGGGUAUGGCUGUUCGCCAUUUAAAGUGGUACGCGAGCUGGGUUUAGAACGUCGUGAGACAGUUCGGUCCCUAUCUGCCGUGGGCGCUGGAGAACUGAGGGGGGCUGCUCCUAGUACGAGAGGACCGGAGUGGACGCAUCACUGGUGUUCGGGUUGUCAUGCCAAUGGCACUGCCCGGUAGCUAAAUGCGGAAGAGAUAAGUGCUGAAAGCAUCUAAGCACGAAACUUGCCCCGAGAUGAGUUCUCCCUGAGACUUAAAGUCUCCUGAAGGAACGUUGAAGACGACGACGUUGAUAGGCCGGGUGUGUAAGCGCAGCGAUGCGUUGAGCUAACCGGUACUAAUGAACCGUGAGGCUUAACCUUACAACGCCGAAG